RNAcentral lists this ribosomal RNA (741 nucleotides) under uncultured bacterium. Its description in RNAcentral is "bacterial SSU rRNA". It matches the Rfam family "Bacterial small subunit ribosomal RNA", at positions 1 to 792 of the family's 1533-position model. The record is from RNAcentral.
UUAGAGUUUGAUCAUGGCUCAGAGCGAACGCUGGCGGCAGGCCUAACACAUGCAAGUCGAACGAACCUUUCGGGGUUAGUGGCGGACGGGUGAGUAACACGUGGGAACGUGCCUUUAGGUUCGGAAUAACUCAGGGAAACUUGUGCUAAUACCGAAUGUGCCCUUCGGGGGAAAGAUUUAUCGCCUUUAGAGCGGCCCGCGUCUGAUUAGCUAGUUGGUUGAGGUAAUGGCUCACCAAGGCGACGAUCAGUAGCUGGUCUGAGAGGAUGAUCAGCCACAUUGGGACUGAGACACGGCCCAAACUCCUACGGGAGGCAGCAGUGGGGAAUCUUGCGCAAUGGGCGAAAGCCUGACGCAGCCAUGCCGCGUGAAUGAUGAAGGUCUUAGGAUUGUAAAAUUCUUUCACCGGGGACGAUAAUGACGGUACCCGGAGAAGAAGCCCCGGCUAACUUCGUGCCAGCAGCCGCGGUAAUACGAAGGGGGCUAGCGUUGCUCGGAAUUACUGGGCGUAAAGGGAGCGUAGGCGGACAUUUAAGUCAGGGGUGAAAUCCCGGGGCUCAACCUCGGAAUUGCCUUUGAUACUGGAUGUCUUGAGUAUGAGAGAGGUGUGUGGAACUCCGAGUGUAGAGGUGAAAUUCGUAGAUAUUCGGAAGAACACCAGUGGCGAAGGCGACACACUGGCUCAUUACUGACGCUGAGGCUCGAAAGCGUGGGGAGCAAACAGGAUUAGAUACCCUGGUA